This 432-nucleotide unclassified non-coding RNA is filed under the name soil metagenome. RNAcentral describes it as "partial contains 5.8S ribosomal RNA, internal transcribed spacer 2, and large subunit ribosomal RNA". The stretch from base 1 to 120 matches the Rfam family "5.8S ribosomal RNA", at positions 35 to 154 of the family's 154-position model. The record is from RNAcentral.
GAUGAAGAACGUAGCGAAAUGCGAUACGUAAUGUGAAUUGCAGAAUUCAGUGAAUCAUCGAAUCUUUGAACGCAUAUUGCGCUCUCUGGUAUUCCGGAGAGCAUGCUUGUUUGAGUAUCAGUAAACACCUCAACUUCCAUAUCUUUUUUUGAAAUGGGAGUUGGACUUGAGUGAUCCCAACGCUUUUCCUCACCGAAAAGUGGCGGGUUACUUGAAAUGCAGGUGCAGCUGGACUUUUCUCUGAGCUAUAAGCAUAUCUAUUUAGUCUGCCUAAAAAACAGAUUAUUACCUUUGCUGCAGCUAACAUAAAGGAGAUUAGUUCUUGUGCUGACUGAUGCAGGAUUCACAAAGACAGCUUCGGCCGACUUUGUAAACUCGAUCUCAAAUCAAGUAAGACUACCCGCUGAACUUAAGCAUAUCAAUAAGCGGAGA